GAAGUUACUGCUAUCGAGGUUCGGCUAAGCCAUGCGAGUCGAAUGUAGCAAUACAUGGCGAACUGCUCAGUAACACGUGGACAACCUGCCCUUAGGACGGGGAUAAACCCGGGAAACUGGGUAUAAUACCCGAUAGGUCUCGAUUGCUGGAAUGCAUCGAGAUUUAAAGCUCCGGCGCCUAAGGAUGGGUYUGCGGCCUAUCAGGUAGUAGUGGGUGUAGCGUACCUACUAGCCUACGACGGGUACGGGUUGUGAGAGCAAGAGCCCCGGAGAUGGAUUYUGAGACACGAAUCCAGGCCCUACGGGGUGCAGCAGGCGCGAAAACUUUACAAUGCUGGCAACAGCGAUAAGGGAACCUCGAGUGCCAGGUUACAAAUCUGGCUGUCGAGAUGCCUAAAAAGCAUUUCAUAGCAAGGGCCGGGCAAGACCGGUGCCAGCCGCCGCGGUAACACCGGCGGCUCGAGUGGUAACCGUUAUUAUUGGGUCUAAAGGGUCUGUAGCCGGCCGGGUAAGUCUCUUGAGAAAUCUGGCAGCUUAACUGUCAGGCUUUCAGGAGAUACUGUCUGGCUCGAGGCCGGRAGAGGAGAGAGGUACUUCAGGGGUAGGGGUGAAAUCUUGUAAUCCCUUGAAAGGACCACCAGUGGCGAAAGGCGUCUCACCARAACGGACCUGACGGCAAGGGACCRAAASCUAGGGGCACGAACCGGAUUAGAUACCCGGGUAGUCCUAGCCGUAAACGAUACUCGCUAGGUGUCGGCCACGGUGCGACCGUUGUCGGUGCCGUAGGGAAGCCGUGAAGCGAGCCGCCUGGGAAGUACGGUCGCAAGGCUGAAACUUAAAGGAAUUGGCGGGGGAGCACCACAACAGGUGGAGCCCGCGGUUU
RNAcentral lists this ribosomal RNA (883 nucleotides) under uncultured Methanosarcinales archaeon. RNAcentral describes it as "bacterial SSU rRNA". It matches the Rfam family "Archaeal small subunit ribosomal RNA", at positions 20 to 903 of the family's 1478-position model. Lineage: Archaea; Methanobacteriati; Methanobacteriota; Methanomicrobia; Methanosarcinales. The record is from RNAcentral.